RNAcentral lists this unclassified non-coding RNA (230 nucleotides) under uncultured Orbiliales. Its description in RNAcentral is "sequence contains ITS1". The record is from RNAcentral. Lineage: Eukaryota; Fungi; Ascomycota; Orbiliomycetes; Orbiliales.
AACAGUACCGCGUGUGGUCACUAGACUGGCCCCGGGUUAACGCACAGAUGCCCUUCGUUGGGCAGAGGAUGUGUAAAACUACUUGUUGAAACACCUUUUUUAUGCUUCGGCUGCACCUUCCCGCUGCAAAGCGGGAGGGGUAGGUCGGUCAGAAGCCACUAUUAAACUAGUUGAUGAAAUGUCAUGCUGUCUGAUACUAUUUUAGUAUUUGAGAAAUCGAAUAUAUGUUA